GCAGGCGCGUAAAUUACCCAUCCUGAUACGGGGAGGUAGUGACAAUAAAUAACAAUACGGGGCCCAUCGGGUCUUGUAAUUGGAAUGAGUACAAUCUAAAUCCCUUAACGAGGAUCAAUUGGAGGGCAAGUCUGGUGCCAGCAGCCGCGGUAAUUCCAGCUCCAAUAGCGUAUAUUAAAGUUGUUGCAGUUAAAAAGCUCGUAGUUGGAUUUCUGGUAGGAGUGACCGUUCCGAACUUGAUUGUUCGUGUAUUGUGUUUUCUCCAGCCAUCCUUGUGGAGAACUUUUCUUGCAUUAAUUUGUAGGGAUUGGGACCCGCAUCGUUUACUGUGAAAAAAUUAGAGUGUUUAAAGCGGGCAAUCGCUUGAAUACAUUAGCAUGGAAUAAUAAGAUAGGACUUUGGUACUAUUUUGUUGGUUUGCAUACCAAAUUAAUGAUCAACAGGAACAGUUUGAGGAUAUUCGUAUGAACAUGUCAGAGGUGAAAUUCUUGGAUUUUGAUCAGACGAACUACUGCGAAAGCAUUUAUCAAGGAUGUUUUCAUUAAUCAAGAACGAAAGUUAGGGGAUCGAAGAUGAUUAAGAUACCAUCGUAGUCUUAACCAUAAACUAUGCCGACUAGGGAUUGGCGGACGUUGUCUAUAUGACUCCGCCAGCACCUCAUGAGAAAUCAAAGUCUUUGGGUUCCGGGGGGAGUAUGGNUCGCAAGGCUGAAACUUAAAGGAAUUGACGGAAGGGCACCACCAGGAGUGGGAGCCUGCGGCUUAAUUUGACUCA
This 774-nucleotide ribosomal RNA is filed under the name uncultured marine stramenopile. RNAcentral describes it as "SSU rRNA". It matches the Rfam family "Eukaryotic small subunit ribosomal RNA", at positions 428 to 1202 of the family's 1831-position model. The record is from RNAcentral.